AAAACUUUGCUUUCAAAAACUGUUCAUCUUCUCUGACUUAGGGUUUCCUUGAUUUUACUUGUUCUACUGUGAUUUUUAUGUGGUGUUCUUACUGUAUUUGUCCUACUGUGACUCUUAUUUGUUUCUACUUUGACUCCUAUGUGUUUUCUUCUACUAUGUUGCCUCCUAAUGUUUCCUUCUGUUUUUCUUUUACUGUGUUUUCCGUCAUUAUAUUUUCAGGGAACGAUUAAAUUCCUUUGGAUUUUCUUAGUUUGCUCUUGCCUGAUUUGCUUGUUUCCAUCCCUAGACUGGACUAAUGACGAAAACCUUAGAAUUUGGGGAUUUUCGGACCACUUGUAUGUGACUUGCAUGUUCUCACCUCUGAACUAGUUUGAUUUCAAUUUCUGAAGUCAUCUCUGUUUUUCAUAUGGUUCUGACCUAUUGCCAAAAAACUCUUCUACACUAGAUUUUCCUACUUAUUCUUUACAAUGACACUAUAGUCUUCUUUCAUGUUUGACGUUUUCGUAUGCUCCUUAUAUACUAUGAAUUUCCCCCUAACUGGUUUUUCAAUUUUGAUUAGUUGAAAAUUUCUUCUGAAUAUAACUUGAUUGAUUUCUUUCCAUUUGUUUUUGCCCGUGACUCGAGCUAAGUAAAACCCCUUUUUUUCAGACUUGAAUCAUUCGUAUAAAGUCUUAGACCUUUUGGUUUACUGUUUGUUAAUUGGUCUUCUUACCUUAUUUGCACAAACUGUGUAUUUCAAAACUUGUCCUUAAAUAACUUUUAUGUAUUUACCCUUAUUUGUAUAGUAUGCACUAUGUUAUUUAUUUGAUCCCCUUUUCUUAAAUAUUUCCUAUCCUUUACUGAUAAAACUGGGAUUCCUUAAUUAAAGGAACCUCUGUUAAUUGAUUGGUCCUAAUUGGUACUGGACUAUUUGCUUUCCUUGCCCGCUCGCCUGACUUCAAGUAUAAAUACAUGCUUCUCGUUUGACACAAGACACACACUCGAUACACAAACACCUCUGUCUUUGAAAUCUGUUACCACUUGCUCUACUAUUACUUUCUCUACUACUACUGAGCACUCUGCUCCUUUCUCGCUUAUUGUCUGAACAUUCUGGAGUUCCUCUGAACUCCCAAUUGCUUGCUGAAGUUUUGAGUUCCUGAUUAACUUUCUGGCUGUCUACUUGCUGUUGUUUCUCCGCUACACUACAAUUGCAACUGGUAUGUUUGUUUUUUGGUUAAACAACACCAUCCUUCUAUGUGUUUACUUCUCCUUUGCUACACAUAUUUCACUAUGUGUUUAUUUAUGCUCCCCUGCACUAUGUAACUACAUUCAAGGCCGUUGUGCUCUUUCAUUAUGUUUUGCAUCUUCAGUCUGCUAUGCUUCCUUAAUAUCCUGUGUAUACUGCUAAUCCCUUCCCUCCAUUCCCCUUUGUAUGCGAGUUCUGUCCUGAAUUAUGACAGCACCUUAUAUUGCUGUCCAUGACUCAGAACUAGAUUCUCUUGAAUCUCUACUUAAAUCCUUUCCCAUUCCCUCUCCCCUUUAUGUGUUGAGCUUUAACUAGGGUCUGGUGGUGUCCUAAUCACCAUUUAGACCUAAGUUUGACUCUCAAGAGUCUGCUCCUAUUUGUUUGAACCUAAGCAGGGGGUUAGGUGUGUGCCAGCCUAUGCCAUGGCUGGGUAUGACCACCCUCUGCUAUGGCUCCCUCUCUCACAUUGCAGUUAUUCCUAGUUUCCUAAGUUCUGCCCUCAUUGGUAAGCCAUGCUUUGGGACCCCGAAGUUCCCUCUAAAAUUGGAUGCCUGAGGGCUGGCACUUCUACACUGCAUUAUUUUGUUACAACAAUUAUCAUUUAGAGUGUAAGCAUUGCGUGGGGUCCUGAAGGUUCAUUGGAACUUUGAAACACUCUGAAUAAGAGGAACCCGGAAUUCAGAUUUGGUGAAACACAUGUUAUAUGAUAUCAAGAUUGAAUUAGGCUGAUCAGAUCUAGCUAUAGGCUGUGAUCUAUUUUUUGUUUACCUUCUUUCUUCUGAUUUUGUAAUAACCUUGUAAAACAAACUCGGGAAAGCGUGGGAGGGGUUUACUUUAUUGCUAAAGGGUAGAUACCAUGCUUAUUGGACCAACAUUAUUUUUUAAUCACUUAGAUAUCAUGCCUAUAGGUUCAACGCUUUAAAUAACCUAGAGAUCAUGUCUAUAGGCUUUUUCAUUCUUUUCAAUCAUUUCGAAAUCAUGUCAAUAGAAUUUAAUGUUUAACCGUGCUCCAAAUGAGUAGAUAUCCUGUCUAUAGGAUCUAAUAAUCAAACAAGUGAUUGCACAUAAAAAUCCUGCCUAUACGAAAUACAGAAACGCCUAGGGAACUAUAGGGUAAUCAAAUACUCAUUUUGAAACCCGUCUAAUAACAGUAACGAGUCCUCAAAAGCCAAGGUAUAGCUAUCCUGCUUAUAGGGGUUCAAACUCUCCUAAUAUGUGUUUAAUGAUCUGACAGUUGGACUUAAACGUUUUUAACAAAAACUUGUCCAAACCUGUUUGCUUUUUUUUUUCCGUCCAAACUUGUUUGUUUUCAGAACUCUUAUAAAUACGCUUUUAAUUCCUUUCAAACUUGCAUUUUUAUUCUAAAUAACGUCUUUCAACUUUCUGCCUGAAUUUCCCUUCUACUUUUGAAGCUGUCUUCCGAAUCAGAGUUUCAACUAUUUCUUUUAAAGUAUCUGCACUCUUUAUACUCUUUUACAAUUCCCCUAUCAAAGAAAUCUUUAACAGUCUGUUUCUUUUAGAACGUCUCACUUUCGAAAACUCUUCUUUACACUUCCACUGUAUUUUUAGUUAAUCAAUUCUCCGAACUUUCUACAAUUUUCAAGUUUCUAUCUUCAAUUCUUCUGCAUUAGGUUCUUAAUCAGUAACUUGUGUAAAAUACCUAAACUUUUGACAAUUGGAUCCGGGUUGCCUAAUGUAGACUUUUUAUCCAACUCUAUGUAUUGAACCAAUUUGUCCGCUGUUUCAAUUUUUUAAGACCAAUUUACGGGGUCUUAUAUGAGCCUUUUGUGUGUUUGUUUCAGUCCCUAUUCAUCUUUUAUUUGUUUUGAUUAACACCCUAGUAUUUUAUCCUUUUGAAACACCAUAUAUGCCUACUUCCUCCCCUUCCCCUUAGGAUUAGAAGUCCUAAAUACCCCGAGACUGAUAGGUUGGGGCGUGUAUUAGCAUGCAAUAAGUACGCGAGACUAAUUGCGUUUAAUACCUUAACGGGGUGGAAAGGGAAGAAUAUGUAUAUGAUGACCAGUGUGCUAAUAUCUCGUGUGAGAGUGAUUGCUGUGUAUUGUACCGAUGUGAUCCAUAUUAUAUUUAAACCUAGGACCCCUUUUCCCUUUUUUACUUGUAUAAUGUUUUACUUAAAUUUAUGUUCCAAUUAAUCAUUCUCUUUUAAAAUCACUUAUGUCCUUCCUCUUCUUUUCUAAAAUUUCAAGUUUUUGUUUGUAACUGCAAUAUGCAAACUCUAUGUGUUUUCUUUUACUCUUCUUAAAGUCACAAUUAAGCAUGGCCAGGAACCACACUAGUGGAUCUUGAGGAGUGCCUAACACCUUCCCCUCGAGAUAAUCUUUAGCCCUUACGCGAACUCUGGUUUUCUUUCAAUUCUUCUUCUUUUCUUUGAAAGUGUCCUAGUGCACUAUAAUCAUUAGGUGGCGACUCUUCAAAUCUCAUAACCCAAUUCAUCAAAAGGGAAUAAGAUUUGUUUUGUCCAUAAUGUCAUAAACCCAAUUUCACUUUAGAAAAAUAGGGGCGUCGACAACAUGGCGACUCUGCUGGGGAAUUUCUUUAUGCUUUUACCAUUACAUGCUUUUGUGACUUUAUUGCUUCCUUAAUCGCUUUUAUUUCUUGCAUUCAACUAUUUCAUCAUGAUUACUGACUUGGCUCUUAUGUGUUUCCUUUCUUUUAAUUUCUUUCUUUUCUUCCUUAUCAUUAUUUUGAUUCCGUUGUAAUUUUCGAGCAUUUAUUGUAAUCUGUACUUUAUGAACGUGAAAAUACAUGCUAUAUGCUUUAUUCUUGUAACGGCAUUCUUCAACAUCAUACUCCACUCGUGCCAAAACAAAUACUAUAUCAACACUUAUAAUGAGUGGUUCCGCCCUUUCGAUAUUAUAACCCCGUAAAUGUGGCAAAGGCAUAUUUGCGAUAAAACUAGUCGAUCAACGAUGUAGUCGACGGUUUCGCGCCUUUCCCUCUUGAGUUGUCCGCUCAAGGGUACCUUGUCUAGCACUUCAAAAGUAGAAACCUUAUUGGAUUUAAAAUGUUCAUGCAUCUGGUCAACCCUAGCUGAGUCAGUUAUGCUUUCCGCAUAAUGACUCAUUAAGAUAUCCUAGUCCAAAUUCCAUCGGGUUUCCUCGAAACCCAAAUGGACACCCCCAUGUUAUGUGCAUUUACUUGGAGAAAUAAAUUCCUUUAUUUCUAAUUAUUGAUUUAAAUAGUCGAGUCUGGUGGGAUUGAAGGCCAAACGCUUUGUUUUGCAGAAAAUGAGGCACGAAGUCCCCAGAUUCGGCAAAGUAGAAACCUUAUUCCGUUAAACUGUUCAUGCAUCAUGGUCAAACUUAGCCGAGCCAGUUGUGUUGUUCGCAUAAUGACUCAUUAAGAUAGCCUAAACCAAAGUCCAUCGGGUUUCCGAAACCCAAACGGACACUUCCACAUUAUGUGCAUUUCUUUGGAGAACUAAAUGUCUUUAUUGCUAAUUAUUGAUUUACAUAGUUGACUAUGGUGGGGGUUAAGGCCUAACACUUUGUUUUGCAGAAAAUGAGGCACGAAGUCCUCAGAUUCAGUAUGGUAUCUAACAUUCAUCCAAGGUUUCUAAGCUGGUGGGAGGAUCUUCAUGCCAGCGAUCAGACCCUCGUCUGCAAAUGCUUAGGGAACCUUCCUUCACUUCAGGAAGUUAAGCAUGACAAUCAUUGAAGUUGCUGUGAGCACGCGAUUUUUG
This 4928-nucleotide long non-coding RNA is filed under the name Nicotiana benthamiana. RNAcentral describes it as "long non-coding RNA (NBEN_LNC004035)". Lineage: Eukaryota; Viridiplantae; Streptophyta; Magnoliopsida; Solanales; Solanaceae. The record is from RNAcentral.